RNAcentral lists this transfer RNA (72 nucleotides) under Candidatus Woesearchaeota archaeon. RNAcentral describes it as "tRNA-Thr". It matches the Rfam family "tRNA". Rfam says of the family: Transfer RNA (tRNA) molecules are approximately 80 nucleotides in length. Their secondary structure includes four short double-helical elements and three loops (D, anti-codon, and T loops). Lineage: Archaea; Nanobdellati; Candidatus Woesearchaeota. The record is from RNAcentral.
GCCUCAGUAGCAUAGCGGUAGUGCAUCUGAUUCGUAAUCAGAAGGUCGGGGGUUCAAAUCCCUUCUGAGGCU